This is a long non-coding RNA of Myotis brandtii (Brandt's bat), 414 nucleotides long. RefSeq lists it as uncharacterized. The record is from RefSeq and is a predicted model, not a curated record. The transcript is spliced from 2 exons. Lineage: Eukaryota; Metazoa; Chordata; Mammalia; Chiroptera; Vespertilionidae.
CCGCCCGCCAGGUCCUGUAAACGCCUGCGGCUGGCUCCGAACCCUCCCGACAGCAAGAACCUCGCAUCACGGAGACACCCAGUCCUGUUGCUUCCGACCCAGGUCAUGGGGGGCAGCCAUCCCCAGGCACGGAACACUUUUAGUCAAAGGCUUAUUUUUGCCGUAGCGAGCCCUGUCCCCCGUUUCUGUGCAUCUAAGGUUAGCACACCUCCGACCCCUGCUGACGUGACCACCCCCAAGGGUUUAUCCUGUCAUUCGACCCCCAGCUGGCUUUCUCCCACCUUCACGUGCUCUUCCUUCUGUUCCCUCCCUAAUCUCCAAUGCAGAAAAGCUGCAAACUGUUACUCUGAGUAGCAGUUGAGAUCUUGCUUCCCAACAUAUGCUGUAGGUUUAGCUCAAAUAAACUCAUAAAAA